UUUCCUCAAUCAAACUAGCACUCAACAUGUGUUGCAUCAUGUUGAAGAAUCUAGGACGUUUGACUUUUUUACCGGUCACGACACCUUUUUGGCUUCCUUGAGUGCUCCAUCUGCAAAUCUAAAUGGUGGGAACACAUUCGUGCAGCCUUUCUGAGCAUCAAUUGCAGCCUGCUGGAGGUCAGAGUAAAAUCUUGUUCACAGAGGACCAUGUUGUCAAGACUUCCAAGAAAAUUCAUAACCAGAAGUUUGCAGAACUGACAGGCAAUGAAAUAGUUGUGGUAGUGAUAUAUUUAUAGAUCAGUAGUGCAAAACUUUGUAGUCAGAAAAGCAUGAUGUUUGGCUAAUUGGGUGAUUACAAGUUUCCUUGUAUCAGUUUCAACUGUGUGUUUACUAAUCAUUCGUUCAUGGACCAAUUUCUUUAUAAAUUAGCUUUAUAAUUUAUGAUAAUGCCAUGGUUCAGAUUUAUAUUUUUGGUAUGGUUUGAACAAGGUGAAUAAGCCAAAGUUUGAACACUAAAGUAUUAGAUUCUGCAUGUGACAUAACUGAAAAUGAAUGCAGCACUUCGCAUGGUUUGCCAUCCAUGCCCCUCUGCGGUAAAAAUGGGUUUAUCAGUUUAUAUUCAUGGACCGCAAUUGGAGGAAUAUAGGAUUUCUAUGGUUUAUGACAAACAUUCUGGUUUAAGUUCGUUUAAGGGACUGGACCAAAAACGAAGAAGAUAAGAAACUUACAUUAUCAGUGGACUAUCUGCAGAACCAUUGGAACAGUUAAGUGUGGAUGCAGGUACUAUGCACUGGUGACGGGACAAAAGCGGACGGAGCUGGGUGUGCGGAAUAAGUCCGGUAAACCAUCGGUUGGACUUUCUUCUACAUUCUUUUUCUCAAACUUCGUGUCUCGAAACUUGUUGAUAGUUAGCUUGUGUCAAUUUUAGUUCUCAUUCCUUAAAGUUCGUAUCC
Rosa rugosa (rugosa rose) is the source of this 953-nucleotide long non-coding RNA. RefSeq lists it as uncharacterized. The transcript has 4 exons. The record is from RefSeq and is a predicted model, not a curated record. NCBI's taxonomy places the organism in Eukaryota, Viridiplantae, Streptophyta, Magnoliopsida, Rosales, Rosaceae.